RNAcentral lists this ribosomal RNA (497 nucleotides) under uncultured bacterium. Its description in RNAcentral is "partial 16S ribosomal RNA". It matches the Rfam family "Bacterial small subunit ribosomal RNA", at positions 28 to 507 of the family's 1533-position model. The record is from RNAcentral.
GAUGAACGCUGGCGGCGUGCCUAAUACAUGCAAGUCGAGCGAACGGACGAGAAGCUUGCUUCUCUGAUGUUAGCGGCGGACGGGUGAGUAACACGUGGAUAACCUACCUAUAAGACUGGGAUAACUUCGGGAAACCGGAGCUAAUACCGGAUGAUAUUUUGAACCGCAUGGUUCAAAAGUGAAAGACGGUCUUGCUGUCACUUAUAGAUGGAUCCGCGCUGCAUUAGCUAGUUGGUAAGGUAACGGCUUACCAAGGCAACGAUGCAUAGCCGACCUGAGAGGGUGAUCGGCCACACUGGAACUGAGACACGGUCCAGACUCCUACGGGAGGCAGCAGUAGGGAAUCUUCCGCAAUGGGCGAAAGCCUGACGAAGCAACGCCGCGUGAGUGAUGAAGGUCUUCGGAUCGUAAAACUCUGUUAUUAGGGAAGAACAUAUGUGUAAGUAACUGUGCACAUCUUGACGGUACCUAAUCAGAAAGCCACGGCUAACUACGUG